Molecule: ribosomal RNA, 490 nt
Filed under: uncultured bacterium
Lineage: Bacteria
Description: partial 16S ribosomal RNA
Rfam family: Bacterial small subunit ribosomal RNA
Source: RNAcentral
AUUGAACGCUGGCGGCAGGCCUAACACAUGCAAGUCGAACGGUAGCAGGAAGAAGCUUGCUUCUUUGCUGACGAGUGGCGGACGGGUGAGUAAUGUCUGUGAAACUGCCUGAUGGAGGGGGAUAACUACUGGAAACGGUAGCUAAUACCGCAUAACGUCGCAAGACCAAAGAGGGGGACCUUCGGGCCUCUUGCCAUCGGAUGUGCCCAGAUGGGAUUAGCUAGUAGGUGGGGUAACGGCUCACCUAGGCGACGAUCCCUAGCUGGUCUGAGAGGAUGACCAGCCACACUGGAACUGAGACACGGUCCAGACUCCUACGGGAGGCAGCAGUGGGGAAUAUUGCACAAUGGGCGCAAGCCUGAUGCAGCCAUGCCGCGUGUAUGAAGAAGGCCUUCGGGUUGUAAAGUACUUUCAGCGGGGAGGAAGGGAGUAAAGUUAAUACCUUUGCUCAUUGACGUUACCCGCAGAAGAAGCACCGGCUAACUCCGUG